This 495-nucleotide ribosomal RNA is filed under the name uncultured bacterium. Its description in RNAcentral is "partial 16S ribosomal RNA". It matches the Rfam family "Bacterial small subunit ribosomal RNA", at positions 28 to 507 of the family's 1533-position model. The record is from RNAcentral.
GAUGAACGCUGGCGGCGUGCCUAAUACAUGCAAGUCGAGCGAACAGACGAGGAGCUUGCUCCUCUGACGUUAGCGGCGGACGGGUGAGUAACACGUGGAUAACCUACCUAUAAGACUGGGAUAACUUCGGGAAACCGGAGCUAAUACCGGAUAAUAUAUUGAACCGCAUGGUUCAAUAGUGAAAGACGGUUUUGCUGUCACUUAUAGAUGGAUCCGCGCCGCAUUAGCUAGUUGGUAAGGUAACGGCUUACCAAGGCAACGAUGCGUAGCCGACCUGAGAGGGUGAUCGGCCACACUGGAACUGAGACACGGUCCAGACUCCUACGGGAGGCAGCAGUAGGGAAUCUUCCGCAAGGGGCGAAAGCUUGACGGAGCAACGCCGCGUGAGUGAUGAAGGUCUUCGGAUCGUAACUCUGUUAUUAGGGAAGAACAAAUGUGUAAGUAACUAUGCACGUCUUGACGGUACCUAAUCAGAAAGCCACGGCUAACUACGUG